RNAcentral lists this non-coding RNA (216 nucleotides) under Peptoclostridium acidaminophilum. RNAcentral's name for it is "T-box sequence". It matches the Rfam family "T-box leader". From Rfam's summary of the family: Uncharged tRNA acts as the effector for transcription antitermination of genes in the T-box leader family. T-boxes are found upstream of many aminoacyl-tRNA synthetase genes and some amino acid biosynthetic genes usually in Gram-positive bacteria. The record is from RNAcentral. Lineage: Bacteria; Bacillati; Bacillota; Clostridia; Peptostreptococcales; Peptoclostridiaceae.
UCAAAUUCCGUGAAGGGAAGAGUAGCAAAGGAAUUGGCAAAAGCGAGCCGGAGAUUGGUGAGAGUCCGGCGGUCAUGAAGCUUGUGAAGUGCAUCCCGGAGAAGUCGCUUUGAAACCAACAGGGAGUAGAAACGACCGGCGAAGGCCGUUAAAGCUUUUAAAGAAGGCGUAAAGCCUUGAAAAAGAGUGGAACCGCGAAUAUAUCUCGCCUCUUGC